Molecule: ribosomal RNA, 327 nt
Filed under: uncultured eukaryote
Lineage: Eukaryota
Description: partial 18S ribosomal RNA
Rfam family: Eukaryotic small subunit ribosomal RNA
Source: RNAcentral
CCCUUAGAUGUUCUGGGCCGCACGCGCGCUACACUGACGGAUUCAACGAGCUUACAACCUUGGCCGAAAGGUCUGGGUAAUCUCCAAAUUUCGUCGUGAUGGGGAUAGAUUAUUGCAAUUAUUAAUCUUCAACGAGGAAUGCCUAGUAAGCGCAAGUCAUCAGCUUGCGUUGAUUACGUCCCUGCCCUUUGUACACACCGCCCGUCGCUCCUACCGAUUGAAUGGUCCGGUGAAGCGUUCGGACCGUGGCCUUUGGACGGUUCGCCGUCUGUUGGCUGCGGGAAGUUCGUUAAACCUUAUCAUUUAGAGGAAGGAGAAGUCGUAACA